AACGAACGCUGGCGGCAGGCUUAACACAUGCAAGUCGAACGCCCCGCAAGGGGGGUUGCAGACGGGUGAGUAACGCGUGGGAACAUACCCUUUUGUACGUAAUAGCCCUGGGAAACUGGGAUUACUACCGUAUACGCCCUACGGUGGAAAGGUUUAUCGGGGAAGGAUUGGCCCGCGUUGGAUUGGCUAGUUGGUAGGGUAAAGGCCUACCAACGCGACGGUCCAUAGCUGUUCUGAGAGAAUGAGCAGCCACAUUGGGAGUGAGACACGGCCCAAACUCCUACGGGAGGCAGCAGUGGGGAAUAUUGGACAAUGGGCGCAAGCCUGAUCCAGCCAUGCCGCGUGAGUGAUGAAGGCAGUAGGGUUGUAAAGCUCUUUCAACGAUGAAGAUAAUGACGGUAGUCGGAGAAGAAGCCCCGGCUAACUUCGUG
This 431-nucleotide ribosomal RNA is filed under the name uncultured bacterium. RNAcentral describes it as "partial 16S ribosomal RNA". It matches the Rfam family "Bacterial small subunit ribosomal RNA", at positions 29 to 507 of the family's 1533-position model. The record is from RNAcentral.